RNAcentral lists this non-coding RNA (31 nucleotides) under Homo sapiens (human). Lineage: Eukaryota; Metazoa; Chordata; Mammalia; Primates; Hominidae. The record is from RNAcentral.
GUCCUUUAAGCACCUGCGUGAUGACUGCCUC